This 710-nucleotide ribosomal RNA is filed under the name uncultured bacterium. RNAcentral's name for it is "bacterial SSU rRNA". It matches the Rfam family "Bacterial small subunit ribosomal RNA", at positions 202 to 894 of the family's 1533-position model. The record is from RNAcentral.
GAAAGCGGGGGAUCGCAAGACCUCGCGCGAUUGGAGCGGCCGAUAUCAGAUUAGCUAGUUGGUGAGGUAAAGGCUCACCAAGGCGACGAUCUGUAGCUGGUCUGAGAGGACGACCAGCCACACUGGAACUGAGACACGGUCCAGACUCCUACGGGAGGCAGCAGUGGGGAAUUUUGGACAAUGGGCGCAAGCCUGAUCCAGCAAUGCCGCGUGCAGGAUGAAGGCCUUCGGGUUGUAAACUGCUUUUGUACGGAACGAAACGGCGAGCUCUAAUACAGUUUGCUAAUGACGGUACCGUAAGAAUAAGCACCGGCUAACUACGUGCCAGCAGCCGCGGUAAUACGUAGGGUGCGAGCGUUAAUCGGAAUUACUGGGCGUAAAGCGUGCGCAGGCGGUUAUGUAAGACAGAUGUGAAAUCCCCGGGCUCAACCUGGGACCUGCAUUUGUGACUGCAUAGCUAGAGUACGGUAGAGGGGGAUGGAACUCCGCGUGUAGCAGUGAAAUGCGUAGAUAUGCGGAGGAACACCGAUGGCGAGGGCAAUCCCCUGGACCUGUACUGACGCUCAUGCACGAAAGCGUGGGGAGCAAACAGGAUUAGAUACCCUGGUAGUCCACGCCCUAAACGAUGUCAACUGGUUGUUGGGUCUUCACUGACUCAGUAACGAAGCUAACGCGUGAAGUUGACCGCCUGGGGAGUACGGCCGCAAGGU